GCGAGGUGGAGCGAACCCCUAAAAGCCAUCUCAGUUCGGAUUGCAGGCUGCAACCCGCCUGCAUGAAGUUGGAAUUGCUAGUAAUCGCGGAUCAGCAUGCCGCGGUGAAUACGUUCCCGGGCCUUGUACACACCGCCCGUCACACCAUGAGAGCUGCGAACACCCAAAGCCGGUAGCCUAACCGCAAGGAGGGCGCUGUCUAAGGUGGGCGUGGUAAUUGGGGUGAAGUCGUAACAAGGUAGC
This 243-nucleotide ribosomal RNA is filed under the name uncultured bacterium. Its description in RNAcentral is "partial 16S ribosomal RNA". It matches the Rfam family "Bacterial small subunit ribosomal RNA", at positions 1257 to 1500 of the family's 1533-position model. The record is from RNAcentral.